GUGGGGAAUAUUGGACAAUGGGCGAAAGCCUGAUCCAGCCAUGCCGCGUGUGUGAAGAAGGUCUUCGGAUUGUAAAGCACUUUAAGUUGGGAGGAAGGGUAGUAACCUAAUACGUUGCUACUUUGACGUUACUGACAGAAUAAGCACCGGCUAACUUCGUGCCAGCAGCCGCGGUAAUACGAAGGGUGCAAGCGUUAAUCGGAAUUACUGGGCGUAAAGCGCGCGUAGGUGGUUCAGUAAGUUGGAAGUGAAAUCCCCGGGCUCAACCUGGGAACUGCUUUCAAAACUGCUGAGCUAGAGUACGGUAGAGGGUGGUGGAAUUUCCUGUGUAGCGGUGAAAUGCGUAGAUAUAGGAAGGAACACCAGUGGCGAAGGCGACCACCUGGACUGAUACUGACACUGAGGUGCGAAAGCGUGGGGAGCAAACAGGAUUAGAAACCCUUGUAGUCC
This 450-nucleotide ribosomal RNA is filed under the name uncultured bacterium. RNAcentral describes it as "partial 16S ribosomal RNA". It matches the Rfam family "Bacterial small subunit ribosomal RNA", at positions 354 to 796 of the family's 1533-position model. The record is from RNAcentral.